RNAcentral lists this ribosomal RNA (539 nucleotides) under uncultured bacterium. RNAcentral's name for it is "bacterial SSU rRNA". It matches the Rfam family "Bacterial small subunit ribosomal RNA", at positions 356 to 896 of the family's 1533-position model. The record is from RNAcentral.
GAGGAAUAUUGGUCAAUGGACGGAAGUCUGAACCAGCCAAAUAGCGUGCAGGAUGACGGCCCUAUGGGUUGUAAACUGCUUUUGUAUGGGGAUAAAGUUAGGGACGUGUCCCUAUUUGCAGGUACCAUACGAAUAAGGACCGGCUAAUUCCGUGCCAGCAGCCGCGGUAAUACGGAAGGUCCAGGCGUUAUCCGGAUUUAUUGGGUUUAAAGGGAGCGUAGGCUGGAGAUUAAGUGUGUUGUGAAAUGUAGACGCUCAACGUCUGAAUUGCAGCGCAUACUGGUUUCCUUGAGUACGCACAACGUUGGCGGAAUUCGUCGUGUAGCGGUGAAAUGCUUAGAUAUGACGAAGAACUCCGAUUGCGAAGGCAGCUGACGGGAGCGCAACUGACGCUUAAGCUCGAAGGUGCGGGUAUCAAACAGGAUUAGAUACCCUGGUAGUCCGCACAGUAAACGAUGGAUGCCCGCUGUUGGUACCUGGUAUCAGCGGCUAAGCGAAAGCAUUAAGCAUCCCACCUGGGGAGUACGCCGGCAACGGUG